UUAGAUUCUCACCGACAACGAAGAGCCACACAACCAAAGACUCUUAAUGGUUUUCAAAUGUGGUGCCAACCAUCUCGACUUAAAGUCCAAUAUAUAAGCA
This is a long non-coding RNA of Ipomoea nil (Japanese morning glory), 100 nucleotides long. RefSeq lists it as uncharacterized. The record is from RefSeq and is a predicted model, not a curated record. The transcript is spliced from 3 exons. NCBI's taxonomy places the organism in Eukaryota, Viridiplantae, Streptophyta, Magnoliopsida, Solanales, Convolvulaceae.